Molecule: ribosomal RNA, 255 nt
Filed under: Escherichia coli
Lineage: Bacteria; Pseudomonadati; Pseudomonadota; Gammaproteobacteria; Enterobacterales; Enterobacteriaceae
Description: partial 23S ribosomal RNA
Rfam family: Bacterial large subunit ribosomal RNA
Source: RNAcentral
ACUCAGUGAAAUUGAACUCGCUGUGAAGAUGCAGUGUACCCGCGGCAAGACGGAAAGACCCCGUGAACCUUUACUAUAGCUUGACACUGAACAUUGAGCCUUGAUGUGUAGGAUAGGUGGGAGGCUUAGAAGUGUGGACGCCAGUCUGCAUGGAGCCGACCUUGAAAUACCACCCUUUAAUGUUUGAUGUUCUAACGUGGACCCGUGAUCCGGGGUGCGGACAGUGUCUGGUGGGUAGUUUGACUGGGGCGGUCU